GACAGGGACAGAAGAGGCUGUUGGGCCUUAUAACAGGCAUAUGGUUACGGCUUUGUGCCCUACUUUGUGACAUCUAAUUACAGUUUUUC
This 89-nucleotide non-coding RNA is filed under the name Echinops telfairi (small Madagascar hedgehog). Lineage: Eukaryota; Metazoa; Chordata; Mammalia; Afrosoricida; Tenrecidae. The record is from RNAcentral.